RNAcentral lists this transfer RNA (70 nucleotides) under Venustaconcha ellipsiformis. RNAcentral's name for it is "tRNA-Gln". Lineage: Eukaryota; Metazoa; Mollusca; Bivalvia; Unionida; Unionidae. The record is from RNAcentral.
UGAAGGCUAGUGUAAUUUAUAUGCACAUAUAAAUUUGAGUUAUAUAGUGGAAAUACAAUCCCACCUUCAU